Camellia sinensis is the source of this 2240-nucleotide non-coding RNA. The record is from RefSeq and is a predicted model, not a curated record. NCBI's taxonomy places the organism in Eukaryota, Viridiplantae, Streptophyta, Magnoliopsida, Ericales, Theaceae.
AGCAAAGAUUGAAAGAAAAAGAUAAUAAUUAAUUUCCGAAUCAAUUUCCGAAUCCCAAGAUGAUACACUAUUGUAUUUUGUCUGCGUCACUUUCACUCCCUGUUCUCUUCCAAUUCUUCAAUCUGAGAGAGAGAGAGAGAGAGAGAAUGGCCUUUAAUCUGGAAUCAUCGACAGAGGCAACUUCAGGAGCCAUUGGAGCACUGGUGAGCACUACCAUACUCUACCCCUUGGAUACCUGCAAGACCAAGUACCAAGCCGAAAUUCGAGCUCACAAUCAGCAAAAGUACAGGAACACUUCUGAUGUGUUUUGGGAAGCAAUUUCUAACCAUCAAGUUCUCUCACUGUACCAGGGCCUUGGGACAAAGAACCUGCAGUCUGUCAUUUUUUCCUUUGUCUACUUCUAUGGAUACAGCUUCUUUAAGAAGCUAUACUUAAAGAGAAGUGGAUCAAAAUCUAUUGAAACAAAAGCUAAUUUGGUUCUUGCUGCCGCUGCUGGGGCUUGUACGGUUGUGGUGACGCAGCCUUUGGAUACAGCAUCAUCAAGGAUGCAAACAAGUGAAUUUGGGAAAUCUAAAGGACUCUGGAAAACCCUUUCAGAAAACACUUGGAGUGAGGCAUUUGAUGGUCUAGGCAUUUCUCUUCUUCUGACAGCAAAUCCAUCUAUCCAGUACACUGCUUUUGAUCAACUUAAACGGAGACUACUGAGGAGGCAGCUAAGCAAGAAAAGAGGUACAGAACCAUCCUCGGAAGCUCUUUCUGCCUUUUCUGCUUUUGUGCUGGGUGCAGUCUCAAAGUGUAUUGCCACCUGCUUAACUUAUCCGGCUAUCAGGUGUAAGGUGAUGAUUCAGGCUGAAUCAGAUGAAGAUGAGACCAAGGAAGAUCAACCGAAAGCCCAAAAGACAGUCUCAGGUGCAAUCCAUACGAUUUGGAAAAGGGAAGGGCUACUUGGUUUCUUCAAAGGAUUACAGGCUCAGAUUUUGAAGACUGUGCUAAGCUCGGCAUUGCUUAUGAUGGUGAAGGAGAAGAUCACAAAAACCACAUGGGUUUUAAUGUUAGCACUUCAAAGGUAUCUGUCAAUAACCAAGACCAGAUUAAAGAACGCUUAAAUGAACCACGAUAAGAGGGAUUCUAUGCAACGACUCCUUAUAAAGAAAGAGACUUCAUUCAAGGUAAUAAUAUCAUAGAUUUUAGAGCUUUGCAAGGCUUUCUAAAGGGCAUGUAAAAACUAUUGACAUAAGAAGAAACUGAGAUAUGGCAUGUCACAUACAUAUUGUCCUCCUCUUGACUUUCCUUUAACACUUAACAGCACACGACUCUUCAAGAUUGGAAAGAAAACUUCAAAAUUUCAUCAGAGAAAAGGUAAAAUUUGGGAACUUUCUACUCUUCCUCCUAUGCUGGAAUGAGAAAAUCAUCACUCUAUAUCACUCAGAAAAGCAAAUUAAGCUACUGAAAAUGUUUGGUCAAAGCCCUCAACUCACAACAAGAAGAAAAAGCUCAUAGCUAAAGACAUCCACUGCCAGAUUAGACCAACCUUGGAAACCAAACCCACUGAGUUGUCAGCAGCCGCAAAGCUUCCUCCAGGAGUGUUUGUGCUCAAAACAACAACCCAAUUAUCUUCAGAACCAAUACCGGCUCCUGUAAACUUGGUGUCAUUGAGAAAGUCAGAAUGCUGAGACUCUGUGAAGUUAGCAAGGACAAGGCUGGGAACCAGGUUGGGAACGCAAGCGGGCAAUAUUGCACAAUCCUUUGUUGUCUUGACAUUUAAAUGACAUUUGGCUAGAAGGGUGGGGUAAUUGGAGAAUUGAGGUUCGGCACCGGGUACUGUAAUAGAGCCUGUUGUGUAAAUUCUUGAAAUGUAAAUUCUUAUGGUUGGUCAUGAUGAAGAUUGCUCUGUCUACUAGUUAUGUUCAAGCUCUGGUUUUGGGGUUCCAACAUUAUAUCAUGACUCUAGGUACUUACGAUCUUGAUUCCAACUAUGUUUGUCAAUCAAAUGGGUGGUGGCAAUGUUGAGAAGGCUAAGGUGAUACAGACCUUACUCUUUGUUUUAGGGUUCAACACAUUGUUACAGUCCUUAUUUGGUACCCGACUUCCAUCAGUAAUUAGUGGUUCAUACUGCUUUAUUGUUACAGUUUUAUUUGUUUCGUUUUUAUUCUUUCUGUUGGGGAGUAACGCUUCUAUUCUUGACUAUGAACCUACAAAAAUAACAAUUUUGCAAAAAAAUGAACAAUGAUUUUGAGUCA